UGUCGCCUCAGUGUGUGCGCGGCGUUCGAUGUGGCCGGUGUUGAGCUCGGCUCUGCGCGCGAAACGACUUCGCUGUUAGACUACGUUACCACAUUAGUUAGAGGCUGUGUUAACCACACGUGUUAGGAGAACCAGCCUUCGUGCCCAAGAGUUAUCAACCGUCACAGGGGCGAGGAAUGUGGAAACAGUGAUGAAGGGAGGCUGAACCAAAGACUCAGAACUGUAGCAGCGACGGGGUGCACGAAUACACCAUUGUGGCGGUGAAGAAAUAAUAGUGCGUGGUUUCGAGAGAACUUUAGACUGUCUUGGCGCGUGUCAGGGCGGCGGCUGUAGACCUGAGUGGACGCUCCUCUCUUACGACUUCAUUUGUGUGUGAUGGAGCUCUGUAAUCAAACAUAUCGGUACGGAUUUUAGGCCUUGCUCCAGGUCGAGAAUAUAAAUUUGCGGUCCUACGAUUAUCUGCCAGCAAGGUGAAUAGCAUAACAAACAAGUAGAAACCGUUUAGCACAAUUACCUCUCGCCUUUGAGUCAAAUAACAUGUUUGUUGAAAAGACUACUACAGGAACCAAUUAAUUAAACACUACUUACCACUGCGAGAACAAGUGUUUCGUUUGCAAGUAGCAGUCGUCAUGAAAUAUAAUUGUGUUUUGCCACUUUGAACAAAUGGAAAACCUCGUCCAGCGCCCAUAAAGUGGUCAUUAAAACUACGUAGAUCCAGUAAAAAGUAUAAAAAUCAUCAUCCCAGGAUAAAGUGCAGAGAAGACAAGGCCUGCUGUGUUUAUAGCCUGGGAACGUUGGAAGAUUAUCGCACAAGUAACCAAAUCUCGGAAACAAAUAUUGGUUAAGGAAGAUAAAACUUGCCCACGGCUUCCUAUUUAGAGGGCGUUUGCGCUCUUAUGUUUAUUGCGAGGUGAAGAAGGAGAGAAAGUUGUAAUGUGCGUGUGAAACCGCCAUGUUUCUGUUUGCACCGCGCGGUUUGUGUCGCGACUGUCAAUUGAGUGCGUGUUUUGUUUUCGUUGUGUUUCUAUAUUCGGUCGUGGCGCUGUACGCAGGGUUAGGGCUUCUCGCUUCGUUACAAUAACAAUUUCAAUAAUUUUUAAUUGUUUAAAAAAGAAAAGUGUUUCGUUAUUAAGUGUCUCUGUUGUGACUGGAAGUGAAGCUGAUUUUUCUGAAGUUUUGAUGUCUGAUGAACUCCUGAAAUUGCUGCUGCUGUGACGAGGAAGACCUCCUGGUUCAGCAUCUGCGUCAUUAAGAAACCUUGGAAAAGAAGCGACCUGCUUUCUGGAUUCUUUCAAACUUUACCUUAGCAUCGCUGGAAGUGGACACGCCUUAACGGUAAGUACAUUUCUGUUAAUACUAAACGUUAUGAAGUGGAUUUUAAAAGUAGGUUUUAAACUUGUAUAGGAUAUUGCCCUUUUGUGAACUCUGAGCAUGUAUUGCGUAUAAUGCCGAGCACUGACCUGUGACUGUGACUAUUACGUUCUGGCAGAAGGCCUGGACUUUUAAAAUUAGGGGCUUGUGAGAAAUUAUCCUCUCAGACAACUUGUCCUUUCUGAGAAGGAAUAAUGCAAGAUAUUAAAUGUGAUUUAAACACGUGACAGUGAAGUUGAAGUUUGACUGAUGUGGUUUACGGAGACGUUCGUAUUUCCUAGGUGAAGUUUUAGGUUCUCACGGGGACUAAUACGAAGAUGACUGUCUUCUGGGUUGUUGCAACGCAAGGUUACCGACGUUUCAGAGGUCCUUACUGCCUCCAUACUCAGAGCGAUGAGUAGACCACGAAGGUGAA
Zootermopsis nevadensis is the source of this 1786-nucleotide non-coding RNA. Lineage: Eukaryota; Metazoa; Arthropoda; Insecta; Blattodea; Termopsidae. The record is from RefSeq and is a predicted model, not a curated record.